CUCAUGAAAAUUUUUUUUAGUAUUCACACUUGCUUCAGUCGAAGACUUUCUGAACUUAGUCUUGCUAAUCGCAUAUGAUUUCUCCUUUUCUACCAAGAUCGAUAGAUUCUAUCUAGGUACACCCUACUCUAAUUGUAAAUCUGAACCUACUAUAGCUAACAUACACAACAAGAAUCUGAAUGGCUAGAGACUAAGAAAAUGUGUAGUCAAACUCAGUAGCCUCGUUGCAAAUAGCCAAUGACAUCACAGGUCAAAGGACCAUUCACACCACUGC
Molecule: long non-coding RNA, 274 nt
Filed under: Elaeis guineensis (African oil palm)
Lineage: Eukaryota; Viridiplantae; Streptophyta; Magnoliopsida; Arecales; Arecaceae
Description: long non-coding RNA (EGUI_LNC067432)
Source: RNAcentral